This 152-nucleotide non-coding RNA is filed under the name human gut metagenome. RNAcentral's name for it is "glmS glucosamine-6-phosphate activated ribozyme". It matches the Rfam family "glmS glucosamine-6-phosphate activated ribozyme aptamer", at positions 4 to 150 of the family's 167-position model. From Rfam's summary of the family: This entry contains a glucosamine-6-phosphate activated ribozyme that is found in the mRNA for GlmS. The record is from RNAcentral.
AAAAAAGAAGCGCCGGGCCUGUAAUCCCACCAGCAGGUGACGAGGAAAGGGAUCAUCGAAUCUUUCGGCGGAAGUCCCUUCGGCGAAACUGUUUUCACGGGUUUUGUCGUUAGGCUGAGAGCAAAAACGCACGAGUGAUCGUCCAACAGAGG